AGUGAACGCUGGCGGUAGGCCUAACACAUGCAAGUCGAACGGCAGCACAGUAAGAGCUUGCUCUUACGGGUGGCGAGUGGCGGACGGGUGAGGAAUACAUCGGAAUCUACUUUUUCGUGGGGGAUAACGUAGGGAAACUUACGCUAAUACCGCAUACGACCUACGGGUGAAAGCAGGGGAUCUUCGGACCUUGCGCGAUUGAAUGAGCCGAUGUCGGAUUAGCUAGUUGGCGGGGUAAAGGCCCACCAAGGCGACGAUCCGUAGCUGGUCUGAGAGGAUGAUCAGCCACACUGGAACUGAGACACGGUCCAGACUCCUACGGGAGGUAGCAGUGGGGAAUAUUGGACAAUGGGGGCAAGCCUGAUCCAGCCAUACCGCGUGGGUGAAGAAGGCCUUCGGGUUGUAAAGCCCUUUUGGUGGGAAAGAAAAGCAGCAGGUUAAUACCCCGCUGUUCUGACGGUACCCAAAGAAUAAGCACCGGCUAACUUCGUG
This 492-nucleotide ribosomal RNA is filed under the name uncultured bacterium. RNAcentral's name for it is "partial 16S ribosomal RNA". It matches the Rfam family "Bacterial small subunit ribosomal RNA", at positions 29 to 507 of the family's 1533-position model. The record is from RNAcentral.